This is a long non-coding RNA of Brassica napus (rape), 373 nucleotides long. RefSeq lists it as uncharacterized. Lineage: Eukaryota; Viridiplantae; Streptophyta; Magnoliopsida; Brassicales; Brassicaceae. The transcript has 3 exons. The record is from RefSeq and is a predicted model, not a curated record.
CAAUUUUGGUUUGUACUCCUUUGACAUCUAUCUAGUCAACGGUAUGUAGAUUAGAACUAUUUCGGUUGAACACAAGGAAACCAUUCUCUUAAAACAAAAAAAAACAUUUUUUGUCAUCUAUUGGAUUAUAUUAAUAACUUGAAAUUUUACACAUAAACCAACAAAAAAUAUAUUUUUUUCUGGAGCCAAACAAGAUUAUGCAUAAUUGAAGAUUACUUCUGUUGAAUAAAUCUUAGUUCACCAAACAAGUGACGUGCCAACCCCUCUCGACAUUUUUUUCCUUACCAGACCCGUUCCAGUCCUCAGGAGAAAAGACACAAAAGCCUUCCAUUAGUAUUAUUAUAUUUUAAGAAAAAAAUAUAAACAUAUAAUA